Vicia faba (fava bean) is the source of this 333-nucleotide non-coding RNA. The record is from the annotation of a GenBank genome assembly. Lineage: Eukaryota; Viridiplantae; Streptophyta; Magnoliopsida; Fabales; Fabaceae.
AUGAUGGCGGUGGAAAGAAAAACACAAGGAGUUGGAAAAAAAGCUAGGGUUGGUGCGGUGGGAAGUAAAACACAAGCUAGGGUUGGUGCGGUGGGAAGUAAAACAGAAGGAGUUGGAAAAAGGGUUAGGGUUAAUUGGAAUGUGCCAUAUUGGAAAGCCUUCCUAAUUGCAAUACGAGGUCCAAAUGGCAAGAAGAAGAAGAAGGCUGCUGAAAUUAAAUAUUUGGCUAGACUUAAACAGCAGCUUUCCGACAAAAAGAAUGGACUCCUUCCCGAGGUCUAUAUCGGAUAUCCCAAACCAAAGAUGAUGUCAAGAUUAUCUUAUCGCGAAUAG